Molecule: non-coding RNA, 1734 nt
Organism: Phasianus colchicus (ring-necked pheasant)
Lineage: Eukaryota; Metazoa; Chordata; Aves; Galliformes; Phasianidae
Source: RefSeq, a predicted model, not a curated record
UGGAACUGGCAAUUCUGUGGCUGAGGGAGAUGGAGGUCGGCAGCCAGUGUUGGAGCAGAAGCCACAUCCUCGAGUUGCAGCAGCGCAGUUUGAUGCUGUGGUUGUGCCAGGGCUGCUGGGAGAAGAGCUGGGCUGCCUGAGAACUGAAGUCCUCUCAAGCUGGUGGAAGAGCUACAGCCGCUUGGGGCCACCAUUUUAGACUUCAGCUGGAGCUGCAAGGAGUUAGUGAUCUUGUUUUCCAGUGACCCUAUUUGAAGUAGAAAGAACUGGAUUUUGCCAUCAUUUACACCUCAAGGAGCUGCCACAGGAGGAGGGGCCAGUGUUUGCCAGCUUGCUCUGCUCCCUGCAGCCCUCACUGGGGAGCCGCGCCACAGGAAAUGCUGAGCAGGAAUCAGACAUGAGAGCAUCGUGCUGGGUUGGUUUUGCUCUUGGAAACAGAAGGUGGAGCAAGCCACAGCUGAGACAAGGUACAGGCUGCCAGUGCCUGCUGGGAGCUGCAGCCAGGCAAGGGCAGGAAAGCUUCUUCCCUCAUGCAAAUGCAUUGGAUAGGGGGCUGCUUCUCCACUCUCUGGGAAGAAAGUGAGGCAGGUGUCAGGGUCUGCAGUGAAAGCAGGGUCCAUGCCAAGCAGGACGGAGGACUCUAAGGGGUCACAGCAGAGAGCUGCAUCCAUGGGAGCAUCCUGGAGCAACUGGCCACAUGGUGCUGACAUCCGAGAAGAUUUUUAACGUGAUUUUUCACCAUGCUGUUCGCUGCUGACACCACCUUCCUCACUGCAGGUGCAUCUACUGCUUGUGCGACAUUUUAUGCUGUCUCAUUUGGAUUGUAUCUCAAGGAGGAUUUAGAGGAGCUUGCAAGCUGGAGAUCUGCUGGCUUCCCAAAGGUUGGUUACGUACAGGACAGCUGAAGCCAGAGAGGAACAUCUGUGACCACGAUAGCUUCUUCCUUCUGCCUAGGGACUGGAAAAUCCCUGGGUCUGUCCCACUCACACGGCUGCUGAGGAAGCCAUCUUUUGUGCCUUUGAAUCUUUCACUACCCUGACAUUAUCACUGUACAUUUAACUGGCCAAGACAUAUCCUUGCCUGUGCUGUCUGUUUAGACACAUUCUAGUUUUGAAGGAUUUUUGUUCGCAUACUCUACCUCUCUUUUCGACCAUAUCAGCUAUUUCUGAUCCUCAAUGUUUUGGAUAAGUGAUAUACAUUUCUUCUGACACUUUCAUAUGUUAUUUUUAAGCUGUGUUUAUGCUUCUUGCCAACAUUUUAUCCUUGCGGUUCUUUGAAUUUUGUAUUAAAAACCCUAUGAACAAACUACACAAUUCAGAAGAUCUUUUUAAGUCAGUCACCAUCUUAGGGGAUUUCAGGCUUUUUCAUCCUGCUAAGAUACUGAAUUCAAGUAUAUUUUGGUCACUAUUAGUGAAUAACCCUUUCCUAAUAGCACUUUGAACCUCCAAUGUUGAAUUUGAAUUGGACAUCAGACAUUUGAAUUCAGCAUUUGAAUUUAUGUUGACUGAAUUUGAGUGCAGCCUGAACAUGGCCUGCACCCAGGAUCUGAGGAACUUGGGUGGCUCUAGGCUGCCUGGCUGGAGCUGUGCACUGGUUGGGAACAGCCAGGAGAUGCAUAAGAAAGUAACUGAGACUUAAACAGAGCUUGAAACAAGUUGUGUUCCUGUAUUUAACAACAUCUAAUAUACAUAAAGGGAAAUUAAAAACCGCAAACAAAUAAACCGUACCUAAAGA